GUUGUGUGUGUCAGUGAUGAAGUGUUAAACUCACAGCACUAUAAACACUCUCAGAGCACUGAAGCAUCUGAUCAAUAUGCAAACACACUCCAGAUCAUUUACCUGAAGACAGCAGAAACACUGUUUUGUCAUUUAGUAUCUUUGCUAAUAAAUUUCUAUUGAUCAUUUUCAGAAACAGACACUCAUGAUUUACUUCAUGUUAUUUUGGGUGGAUCUUCUCCCUCUAAACACUGUUUUAAUGAUCAGUUUCAUUCAGACUUUGAUGCUGAGAGCAUUUAAUACCUGUGCUGCAGAUUUGAUAUCAUCAUGAUACUUUAUAACAGGUCAAAGGUCAUCCAAUAGGGAAUGACCAUCUAAAUAUUGCUGAAGAUUUCAUUAUAAAGCAGCUCAAUCAUGUUGAUGUUGAGAAGAUCUGCUGUUGAGUCUCAUAUCAGUGUGUGUGAGUGUCGUUCGUCUCUUUCUCUGCUGGAGUUUGUGUUCAUUUGAGUGUGACGGAGGUUUUUGUACGACGCUUUCACUAGAAUGAAGCACUGUGGUGGACUUUCGGUGGAGGAACUAAACUGACCAUCACUGGUCCCGCAGUGAAGCCCUCCGUGUCUCUGCUGCCGCCCUCUUCUCUGCAGAUCUCUGGAGACUCAGCUGCACUGCUCUGCCUGCUCAGCUCUUACUCUCCACAGGGGGCGACGGUGAGCUGGACGCUGGACGGGUCAGAGGUCACCGAGGGGGUUCAGACCAGCGCAGAGAGCGAGCGGGACGGACGCUACAGCCGCAGCAGCGUCCUGAGCCUCAGCAAAGCACG
Ctenopharyngodon idella (grass carp) is the source of this 799-nucleotide long non-coding RNA. RefSeq lists it as uncharacterized. The transcript has 3 exons. Lineage: Eukaryota; Metazoa; Chordata; Actinopteri; Cypriniformes; Xenocyprididae. The record is from RefSeq and is a predicted model, not a curated record.